AUUGAACGCUGGCGGCAUGCCUAACACAUGCAAGUCGAACGGCAGCACAGUAUGUAGCAAUACAUAUGGGUGGCGAGUGGCGGACGGGUGCGUAAUAUGUAGGGAUCUGCCCUGAAGCGGGGGACAACCCGGGGAAACCCGGGCUAAUACCGCAUAAUACUCUACGGAGGAAAUCUGGCACGCAAGUGCUGGGGCUUUAGGAUGAACCUACAUCCGAUUAGCUAGUUGGUGAGGUAAUAGCUCACCAAGGCAAUGAUCGGUAGCUGGUCUGAGAGGAGGACCAGCCACAAUGGGAAUGGGACACGGCCCAGACUCCUACGGGAGGCAGCAGUGGGGAAUAUUGGACAAUGGGGGAAACCCUGAUCCAGCAAUGCCGCGUGGGUGAAGAAGGCCUUCGGGUUGUAAAGCCCUCUAGGCGGGGAAGAAGGUUAUAGGGUGAUAAGCCUUAUAGCUUGACGGUACCCGCAGAAUAAGCACCGGCUAACUCUGUGCCAGCCGCCGCCGUAA
Molecule: ribosomal RNA, 507 nt
Filed under: uncultured bacterium
Lineage: Bacteria
Description: partial 16S ribosomal RNA
Rfam family: Bacterial small subunit ribosomal RNA
Source: RNAcentral